GGCGGGUCCCGAAGCUGGAGGGGCGCCACCGCUGCCCCUCCCUGGGCGACGUCCGGGGAACAGCCCGAGGCCCUCAGGACACUGGCCUUCAUCCUUCGAAGCCCUCGGAGAGCCUGGCAUCCAGGCUGUGAGCCUUCCUGAUGCCUGGAUUACAGGUGCCAGACACCCCAACCUGCUGAAGAUGAAAGUUUUAUUGUGAACAGAUUCUCACUGCUGUGAGGAUAAAAUGAGUGAGGAUUGUGAGAGCACUGUCUGAACUCCUCAGCAGAUGCUGACUUUGUGAAGCACAGCAUGGCACACUUGUAACUUCAGCACUCCAGAGCCAGGAGGAGGAAGAAUAUAAUGCCAGCCUGACGACAACCUGUCUCAAAAAACUGGAAGGGAGGGAGAAAUGCUCAAGUUUGAAAGGACAAGAAAAUUAGAGGGUCUCCAUGAAGCCCCAGCCUGCCUUGAACCUCUUAUGCAAAUAAGGAUGACUUUGGACUCCUGAUUCUCCUGCUUCCAGCACUCAAGAGGCAUGUGCCACCGGAUUGGCUUAAUCCUUCCUACUUUUAGGCUGUGACUCCCAGGUAUUUGUCAUAGCAAUAGGAAACUAAUAGGAAGGGGCUCUUCCUCUAGAGGUCAGGGCCUAAUUACUGUUACAUCCCGACACCUCCCCCACCCCUAGCUGUAGUAUUCACAAAUUCUACCCUUUCUUUUGUUAAUUAAAUUUUAUUUUUUUAAUACACUGCUAGGAUCCCUAAAAGCCAGUAGGAAAGGCUGUCACUAAAGCAGGGGGCAGGAAGGGAGCAAAUGUUAAAGCUAGUUUAGAAGAUGAAAAGGAAUUCUAGAGUCCCCAAGGUAAGAAGCUGUACAUGCAAUGUCAACACUAAACUGGAAUUUUCUUUCUUGGGAUAGUGUCUCAAUUUAUAUAGCCCAAGAGAGCCUUGAACUCAAGAUACUUUUUCCUUAGACCCCCCUAAAGUGUUUAGAUUAUAGGAUUCGACAUACACCAGGCUCAAGAUGGAACCUUUCCUCCUUUUGUUGAACUCAGGGCCUUAUACAGGCCUUACAAAAAAAAAAUGCUCUAUUUCUGA
Molecule: long non-coding RNA, 1076 nt
Organism: Grammomys surdaster
Lineage: Eukaryota; Metazoa; Chordata; Mammalia; Rodentia; Muridae
Exons: 4
Source: RefSeq, a predicted model, not a curated record